CAGCAGCCGCGGGAAUACGUAGGUGGCAAACGUUGUCCGGAAUUAUUGGGCGUAAAGGGCUCGCAGGCGGUUUCUUAAGUCUGAUGUGAAAGCCCCCGGCUCAACCGGGGAGGGUCAUUGGAAACUGGGAAACUUGAGUGCAGAAGAGGAGAGUGGAAUUCCACGUGUAGCGGUGAAAUGCGUAGAGAUGUGGAGGAACACCAGUGGCGAAGGCGACUCUCUGGUCUGUAACUGACGCUGAGGAGCGAAAGCGUGGGGAGCGAACAGGAUUAGAUACCCCCGUAGUCCCUGUCUCUUAUAC
This 301-nucleotide ribosomal RNA is filed under the name uncultured bacterium. Its description in RNAcentral is "partial 16S ribosomal RNA". It matches the Rfam family "Bacterial small subunit ribosomal RNA", at positions 509 to 807 of the family's 1533-position model. The record is from RNAcentral.